GGGUCAGUAGGUUGGUCGUGCCACCGGUACGUACUGGUCCCACUGAUUCCUCCUUCCUGAAGAACCGUAAUGCCAUUAAUUCGGUGUUGCGGGGAAACAGGACUGUUACUUUGAAAAAAUUAGAGUGUUUAAAGCAAGCUAACGCUUGAAUACAUUAGCAUGGAAUAAUGAAAUAGGACGAUCGAUCCUAUUUUGUUGGCUUCUAGGAUUGACGUA
RNAcentral lists this ribosomal RNA (216 nucleotides) under Glomeromycotina sp. RNAcentral's name for it is "partial small subunit ribosomal RNA". The stretch from base 87 to 216 matches the Rfam family "Eukaryotic small subunit ribosomal RNA", at positions 733 to 864 of the family's 1831-position model. The record is from RNAcentral. Lineage: Eukaryota; Fungi; Glomeromycota.